AUAGAACCUUACAUUCUAGACAAAGAGUGGCAACUGAAUUAAUUAACAAGAUAAAACUAGGUGGUAAUGAUGGAUAUUCAAGAUACAAGCAAAACAACAUGAUAGUUUGAGAAUGGCAACUAGGACCUGUUCAGUAUGGAGACAACACUAGAGGUGUGAAGUUAGAGGCACUGCUCUACCCUCCCCUGAAGUAGCCGGCAUUUCGUUCGGGACCUCGAGUGGCGCCUGACCACCUCCGCCAGUCUUGCAGAUGACAGAUCAGUUUACAGCGCUGCCGAGUGAAGUCAUAUUAAGUCGUCCGUCUCUGCCAAAUGCUAUUCAUUGUGAGAUCUGCCUCAUAAUAAAGCAUGAUGGAUUGCU
Capra hircus (goat) is the source of this 360-nucleotide long non-coding RNA. RefSeq lists it as uncharacterized. The transcript has 2 exons. The record is from RefSeq and is a predicted model, not a curated record. NCBI's taxonomy places the organism in Eukaryota, Metazoa, Chordata, Mammalia, Artiodactyla, Bovidae.